Molecule: long non-coding RNA, 7945 nt
Filed under: Homo sapiens (human)
Lineage: Eukaryota; Metazoa; Chordata; Mammalia; Primates; Hominidae
Description: non-protein coding lnc-AGAP5-1:18
Source: RNAcentral
CUCUUUCAUCUUCCCAUCAUGGCCGCCGCCUGUGCGCCUCUGCUGAGUCAUUAGAAUUACUUGUUAUUGGUAAAUAGCCACUAUGGAGACUAAGGACCAGAAGAAACAAAGAAAGAAAAAUAGUGGACCCAAAGCUGCAAAGAAAAAGAAGCGGCAUCUGCAGGAUCUCCAGCUAGGAGACGAAGAAGAUGCCUGGAAGAGAAAUCCCAAAGCUUUUGCAUUUCAGUCUGCUGUGUGGAUGGCUCGAUCCUUUCACAGGACUCAGGAUUUGAAGACAAAAAAGCAUCAUAUUCCAGUGGUUGAUCGAACUCCACUAGAGCCCCCACCAAUAGUGGUAGUGGUGAUGGGGCCUCCAAAGUUGGAAAGAGCACUUUGAUACAAUGCCUCAUUCGGAACUUCACCCGGCAGAAGUUGACCGAGAUCAGAGGCCCUGUGAUGAUCGUGUCAGGUAAAAAGCUCCGACUCACCAUUAUUGAAUGUGGGUGUGACAUUAACAUGAUGAUUGAUCUGGCUGAAGUAGCAGAUCUGGUUGCCAAGCUGUUCUGCCUUUCUGGAAUGGUGCAUGGAGAAUAUCAAAACCAAGAAAUGCACAAUCUGGGCCAUUUUAUUACAGUUAUGAAGUUUAGGCCUCUCACAUGGCAGACUUCUCAUCCUUAUAUCCUGGCAGACAGGGUGGAAGAUUUGACAAACCCAGAGGAUAUCCAAACAAACAUCAGAUGUGACCAGCAGAUGUUACUUUACGGUUAUUUAAGAGGAGCGCACUUGAAAAAUAAAAGCCAAAUUCACAUGCCAGGACGAGGUGGGGCCCACCCAUGAGCUGGUCCAGAGUCUCAUCUCCACCCACUCCACCAUUGAUGCCAAGAUGGCUUCAAGUCGAGUGAUGUUGUUUUCUGAUUCCAAGCCACUUGGGUCAGAGGCUAUAGAUAAUCAAGGGGACGAGUUCUCACUAUGUUGCCCAGGCUGGCCUCGAACUCCUGGGCUCAAGCAAUCCUCCUGCGUUGGCCUCCCAAAGUCCUGGGAUUACAGGUGUAAGCCACUACGGCUGGCCUAUUAUUGCUGUAUUCUAACUUAUUCAUCUCCUAUGUGUCAGAGAUGGCUUUGGAUUCCCCGUUCUGUGUGCUGCUGUCUGGCUCCUGAACCCAGCUGUAGAGGUGUGUCAAUCCCAACUGGUGAAGUACUGAGAGGAAGCUACACAAAAGGCAGCAAAGUAUUAGUGAGUGGUGUCAUUGAGCAAACACGAAGUCGGGCUCAUCCAAGGAUGAGAUUUUGCCAGAGAAAGGACGAGCAGCAAGUCAGGGAGCUUAAGCGUCAGCCUCGAGUUUGACCAGCAACAGGGGUCGGUGUGUCCCUCUGAAUCUGAGAUCUAUGAGGCAGGAGCUGGGGACAGGAUGGCAGGAGCGCCCAUGGCUGCUGCUGUGCAGCCUGCUGAGGUGACCGUUGAAGUUGGUGAGGACCUCCACAUGCACCACAUUCGUGACCAGGAGAUGCCUGAAGCUUUGGAGUUUAGCCUUUCUGCCAAUCCAGAGGCAAGCACAAUAUUCCAGAGGAACUCUCAAACAGAUGCUUUGGAGUUUAACCCUUCUGCCAAUCCAGAGGCAAGCACAAUAUUCCAGAGGAACUCUCAAACAGAUGUUGUAGAAAUAAGAAGAAGCAACUGUACAAACCAUGUAUCUACUGAGCGUUUCAGUCAACAAUACAGCUCGUGUUCGACAAUAUUCCUUGAUGACAGCACAGCCAGCCAGCAUUAUCUUACAAUGACAAUAAUAUCUGUGACCUUGGAGAUACCUCAUCAUAUCACACAAAGAGAUGCAGAUAGAUCUUUGAGCAUACCUGAUGAACAGUUACACUCAUUUGCGGUUUCCACCGUGCACAUUACGAAGAACAGAAAUGGAGGUGGGAGUUUAAAUAACUAUUCCUCCUCCAUUCCAUCGACUCCCAGCACCAGCCAGGAGGACCCUCAGUUCAGUGUUCCUCCCACUGCCAACACACCCACCCCCGUUUGCAAGCGGUCCAUGCGCUGGUCCAACCUGUUUACAUCUGAGAAAGGGAGUCACCCAGACAAAGAGAGGAAAGCCCCGGAGAAUCAUGCUGACACCAUCGGGAGCGGCAGAGCCAUCCCCAUUAAACAGGGCAUGCUCUUAAAGCGAAGUGGGAAAUGGCUGAAGACAUGGAAAAAGAAAUACGUCACCCUGUGUUCCAAUGGCGUGCUCACCUAUUAUUCAAGCUUAGGUGAUUAUAUGAAGAAUAUUCAUAAAAAAGAGAUUGACCUUCGGACAUCUACCAUCAAAGUCCCAGGAAAGUGGCCAUCCCUAGCCACAUCGGCCUGUGCACCCAUCUCCAGCUCUAAAAGCAAUGGCCUAUCCAAGGACAUGGACACCGGGCUGGGUGACUCCAUAUGCUUCAGCCCCAGUAUCUCCAGCACCACCAGCCCCAAGCUCAACCCGCCCCCCUCUCCUCAUGCCAAUAAAAAGAAACACCUAAAGAAGAAAAGCACCAACAACUUUAUGAUUGUGUCUGCCACUGGCCAAACAUGGCACUUUGAAGCCACGACGUAUGAGGAGCGGGAUGCCUGGGUCCAAGCCAUCCAGAGCCAGAUCCUGGCCAGCCUGCAGUCAUGCGAGAGCAGUAAAAGCAAGUCCCAGCUGACCAGCCAGAGCGAGGCCAUGGCCCUGCAGUCGAUCCAAAACAUGCGUGGGAACGCCCACUGUGUGGACUAUGAGACCCAGAAUCCUAAGUGGGCCAGUUUGAACUUGGGAGUCCUCAUGUGUAUUGAAUGCUCAGGAAUCCACCGCAGUCUUGGCACCCGCCUUUCCCGUGUGCGAUCUCUGGAGCUGGAUGACUGGCCAGUUGAGCUCAGGAAGGUUAUGUCAUCUAUUGGCAAUGACCUAGCCAACAGCAUCUGGGAAGGGAGCAGCCAGGGGCAGACAAAACCCUCAGUAAAGUCCACGAGGGAAGAGAAGGAACGGUGGAUCCGUUCCAAAUAUGAGGAGAAGCUCUUUCUGGCCCCACUACCCUGCACUGAGCUGUCCCUGGGCCAGCACCUGCUGCGGGCCACCGCUGAUGAGGACCUGCAGACAGCCAUCCUGCUGCUGGCACAUGGCUCCCGUGAGGAGGUGAACGAGACCUGUGGGGAGGGAGACGGCUGCACGGCGCUCCAUCUGGCCUGCCGCAAGGGGAAUGUGGUCCUGGCACAGCUCCUGAUCUGGUACGGGGUGGACGUCAUGGCCCGAGAUGCCCACGGGAACACAGCGCUGACCUACGCCCGGCAGGCCUCCAGCCAGGAGUGCAUCAACGUGCUUCUGCAGUACGGCUGCCCCGACGAGUGCGUGUAGUAUCUGUUUUAUUUGACUGCAGUCUCCUUGGUGCAAAAACAAAAUGGGAAAAAUAAGGAUAACUCAGAAUUUCAAAAGGAAAUCACAAAUUCAGCUAGUAAUAGCAUUUUCAGUACUUUUCAUAAACUAAGUAAAUACACAAAAUGUUGAUUUUUCUGACCAUAAGACAUAUUUUAUGUCCUUUUGCCAAGGUGGAUGUGUUAGUCUCAGGCCCUCCUGGCCACAUUGCCCAAGUCACACAGGCUUCUGUAUUAUGUAUUUAGAUAAAAUGUGUGAAAAUAUAUUUGAAAAAAAAGUUCAUAAAUAUGCAUUGAUUUUUGUACACAUGGCACCUCUUUUUCAUUUUUAUUUUUAUUUUUUUUUUGGACGAUGUUUUGCUCUGUUGCCCCAGCUGGAGUGCAGUGGCAUGAUAUCUGCUCACUGCAAGCUCUGCCUCCCGGAUUCACACCAUUCUCCUGCCUCAGCCUCUCAGGUAGCUGGGACUACAGGUGCCUGCCACCACACCUGGCUAAUUUUUUGUAUUUUUAGUAGAGACGUGGUUUCACCAUGUUAGCCAGGAUGGUCUCGAACUCCUGACCUCGUGAUCCACCUGCCUCGGCCUCCCAAAGUGUUGGGAUUACGGGCGUGAGCCACCGUACCCGGCCCAUGGCACCUCUCUUAAUUUAUAAAUUGAACUGGAUGUGAAGUAAUAAUGUCAGCUAGUUGAGAUAAGAGGGUUACAGUUCGGCUGGGCGCAGUGGCUCACACCUGUAAUCCUAGCACUUUGGGAGGCUUAGGCGGACUGAUCACCAGGUCAGGAGAUUGAGACCAUCCUGGCUAACAUCAUGAAACCCCAUCUCUACUAAAAAAUACAAAAAAUUAGCUGGGCAUGGCCGGGCGUGGUGGCUCACACCUGUAAUCCCAGCACUUUGGGAGGCCGAGGCAGGCGGAUCACGAGGUCAGGAGAUCAAGACCAUCCUGGCUAACAUGGUGAAACCCCGUCUCUACUAAAAAUACAAAAAAAAAAAAAAAAAUUAGCCAGGUGUGGUGGCAGGCACCUGUAGUCCCAGCUACUCGGGAGGCUGAGGCAGGAGAAUGGUGUGAACCCAGGAGGCGGAGCUUGCAAUGAGCUGAGAUUGCACCACUGCACUCCAGCCUGGGCAACCAAGCGAGACUCCAUCUCAAAAAAAAAAAAAAAAUUAGCUGGGCAUGGUGGCGGGCACCUGUAGUCCCAGCUACUUGGGAGGCUGAGGCAGGAGAAUGGCAUGAACUCAGGAGGCAAAGCUUGCAGUGAGCAGAGACUGUGCCACUGCACUCCAGCCUGGGCAACAGAGCGAGACUCUGUCUCAAAAAAAAAAAAGAAAAGAAAAAGAGGGUUACAGAUCAUUGCACAUGGAAAAUAUUCCCAGCAGUAAACACUUCCAUUAAUGUGAUCUACAGCUUUUAAAAAGGAGCAUCUCAGAAUAAGAUGGUGGUACAAUUUGCUUAUUGAGAAAGGAAAAAAAAAACACACGAGUAUAUUACAAAGGGAAAAGAAGGAAUGUGAUUUCUCAUGAUUGAAAGCUUGAUUUAGAUUGCAUACAGCUUUUGCUACCCAAGACCAAGCGGCUCUGGCAAGACAGGGUGGUUUUCCGAAUGCCAGACCGAGGUGCCUUAUGAAGGCAGCUGCCGAUGGUUCCAGAUGUAGAGAGAUAGGUGAUGCAGGAGGGAAAGCUGGAUUGGAAAAGGGAGAGUUUUGUAGACCGGCUACACUCAUUGUGCCUUUGAAAGAGCAGAGCCGGCAGCCUCUAGUCAUCAUUUGGAUAUACAGGACUGGAGCAUGAAUCUGAUGUAGAGCUACAGAAUGAAGAGCAACAGCAGCUGUUUAAAUACCGAGAAAGUGUGUAGAAUGAAAUUGGACAAGCCAAGCAUGGUGGUUUCAUGCCUUUAGUCCUAGCUACUUCGGAGGCUGAGGUGGGGGAAUUACUUGAGCUCAGCAGUUUGAGUCCAGCCUGGGCCAGAUGUUGAGACCCUGUAUCUUAAGAAAAGAAAAAAAUAAGACCAGGUACAGUAUCUCAUGCCUGUAAUCCCAGCACUUUGGGAGGCCAAGUUGAGAGGACUGCUCGAGUGUAGGAGUUCAAGACCAGACUGGGCAAUAAAGUGAGACCCAUUUCUUUUUUUUUUUUUUUUAACUUCUUAAAUGCACAAAUUUAUUUUUUCUCAACAAACACACAUCUUAAUGCCUUUACAACUUUUAUCUCCCCAAAUAUAUCUUGCUUUUCUUUAUAUGUGCUGUAUACAGAGUUGUUUUCCUUAUAUUUAGUAGUUAUUGCUUUUUUGUGCCCUUUUGCGUCCUGAAUUUACACAUCAGGCAUAGAUCUUGGGACAGGAAAGAGCUGUGAAGCAAAUUCCUGGAAAAUCAAACCCCUUCCAGCAUGGCCAGGUAGCACAGCUGAGCCAGGGAUGAUGGGGCCAUAUUGGGUUUGGCUCUGCCUUGCAGCUGGCAGUCCAAACACUGAGGACAUGCAUAUUUCUGCAGGCCAGUGAGACCCAUUUCUACCAAAAAAAAAAAAAAAAAAUCAAGAAAUUAGCUGGACAUGGUGGCACAUGCCUGUGGCCCCAGUUACAUGGCAUGGCAGGCUGAGGCAGGAAGAUCACUUGAGCCCAGGAGGUGGAGGCUGCAGUGACCCAUAUACAUGCCACUGCACUCCAGCCUGGGCAACAGAGUGAGACCCUCUCUCAAAAACAGAUAAAGUGGACAGAAAAUAGGUUGGUAAGGACUAAUCAUUUAAGGGACAAGCCCCCAGAAGAGUGGCUACUAGAGUGGGAGGAGGAAAAGCAGAAGGAGAAAGAGUUGAAGACAGGCGAGGCUGUGGUCCCAGUGCUGAAUUCUGCCAAGCAGUGACUUGAUUCAUGAACACUCACUGGAUGCUGACUCUGUUGCUCUUCUGAGUGCUGGGGUAGAGGAGAGGAGAGGUGGAGCCCAGUUCUUGCUUUUAGGAGCUUAUGUUCUAGGAAGUUCAAGUAUUUUUUCAGGUAGUAUGAAAUAGCAGGAAGAGGAAGCAGGCUAAAGGGACACAGAGUGAUUGGGGGCUAUUUUAAGUAGAAUGAUAAGGAAGAGCCUGUCUAGAGAGCUAUUUGAACAAUGACCUGACUGAAGGGACAACAGAAAGCAGUGCUGACAUUACAGGUAGCAGGAUGACUGCCAAGACAGAAACGCAUUUCAUAUGUGUUUGAGGAACAAACAGCAAGGUGACCAGCAUGGGGAGAGUGAAGAAUGAGGGAAACCUUGAAUGAGAGUAAAGCAAUUCCAUCUUGGAGGCUAAUCUGCCAUAUUCUGAUUAAUCCCAGUUCCAAGAAUUCAUCUACAAUUUCUAUUUUAUCUUUUUAAAAAUAUUAUUUUUUAUUUUUUAUUUUUUGAGACAGUCUCACUCUGUCUCCCAGGUUGGACUGCAGUGGCACAAUCUCAGCUCACUGCAAACUUCACCUCCUGGGUUCAAGCGAUUCUCCUGCCUCAGCUUCCCGAGUAACUGGGAUUACAGGCGCCUGCCACCAUGCCUGGCUAAUUUUUGUAUUUUUAGUACAGAUGAGGUUUUACCAUGUUGGCCAGGCUGGUCUGGAACUCCUGACCUCAGGUGAUCCGCCCACCUUGGCCUCCCAAAGAGCUGGGAUUACAGGCGUGAGCCACCGUGUCUGGCCAUACACAUCCCUGCCGAAGCCCGCAUUACCCUUCCCCUAUGCUAUAGAAGCCCUGGGUCGGGGGGGUGGGGGUAAUGGCACAGGGAUCCACCAUCUUAUCUUGGUGCCAUCCCUGACUUGGCUUCUGUUCAUAAACGCCUAUUAAAUGUUUCUUUCUGAGAAACUGGAUUUGUCAGCCUCUUUCUUUGGUAUCUCAGGUUCCUUGGCCUUUGCGGGUAGGUUUAUAUAGACCUGCUCAGCACAGGACAGGCAGUUUCUCAAAAAAUUAAAAAUAGAAUUACCAAAUGAUCCAGCAAUAUCACUUCUGGGUAUAUAGCCAAAAUAAUUGAAAGCAAGGUCUCAUAGAAAUAUUUGUACACUGAUAUUUAUAGCAGUGGUAUUCACACUCAUCAAAAGAUGGAUGCAGCCUAAUUGUCCAUAGGCAGAUGAAUUGAUAAAAUGUGGUAUAUACAUACAAUAAAAUAUUCUUCAGCCUUAAAAAGGAAGGAAAUUCUAACACAUGCUACAACAUGGAUGAACAUUGAGGACAUUAUGCUAAGUGAAAUAAGCCAGUUAGAAAAAGACAAAUACUGUGUUCUUUCACUUAUGUGAAGCAUCCAGACUGAGUAAGCAAACUAAUAGAAACAGAAAGUAGAACGGGGGUUGCCAGGGACAUGGGGAAGGGAGAAAAUGGGAAGUUGCUUAGUGGAUAUAGAGUUUUGGUUUUGUCAGAUGAAAAAGUUCUGGAGAUUGGUUGCAUGGCAAUGUGAAUAUACUCUACAUUACCCAACCCAAGGGCUCUCCUUAACCCCUGUUCCGACUGCCACUUAGAAGUGGUUAAGGUAGUAAAUUUUAUGCAUAUUUUACCACAAUUCAAAAUAGAAUUAUUAUUUUUUUAUUAUAAUUUUUUGAGAUCCCUCACUCUGCUGCCCAGGCUGGAGUGCAAUGGCACCGUCUCGGCUCACUGCAACCUCUGC